Molecule: non-coding RNA, 22 nt
Filed under: Rattus norvegicus (Norway rat)
Lineage: Eukaryota; Metazoa; Chordata; Mammalia; Rodentia; Muridae
Source: RNAcentral
AUCACAUUUCUGCCCCACUCUC